UACAGAGGGUGCAAGCGUUGUUCGGAUUUACUGGGCGUAAAGGGCGCGUAGGCGGUUAGCACAGGUCAGUUGGGAAAUCUCCGGGCUUAACCCGGAAAGGUCAACUGAUACUGUGCGACUAGAGUGCGGAAGGGGCAACUGGAAUUCUCGGUGUAGCGGUGAAAUGCGUAGAGAUGUGGAGGAACACCGAUGGCGAAGGCAGCCCCCUGGGUCAAGAUUGACGCUCAUGCACGAAAGCGUGGGGAGCAAACAGG
Molecule: ribosomal RNA, 254 nt
Filed under: uncultured bacterium
Lineage: Bacteria
Description: partial 16S ribosomal RNA
Rfam family: Bacterial small subunit ribosomal RNA
Source: RNAcentral